RNAcentral lists this ribosomal RNA (385 nucleotides) under Ommastrephes environmental sample cf. Ommastrephes bartramii. RNAcentral describes it as "partial 16S ribosomal RNA". The record is from RNAcentral. Lineage: Eukaryota; Metazoa; Mollusca; Cephalopoda; Oegopsida; Ommastrephidae.
UAAUUUGCCUUAUAAUUUGAGGCUAGAAUGAAUGGUUUGAAGAAGGUUAAUCUGUCUCCAUCUUAUUUUUUAGAAUUUAAUUUUUAAAGUGAAAAAGCUUAAAUUUUUUAAAGGGACGAGAAGACCCUAAUGAGCUUAUAAUUUUAUUAUCAUUAUUUAAAACAUUUAGGUGGAGGGAUAUAAAUUUUAAUUGGGGUGAUUAAGGAAUAAAUUGUGUAUAGUAACUUCCUUAAACUAGGUAUUUGUAGAUAAAGUAACCAAUAUAAUAUUGCUUAUAAUAUAGUUACCAUAGGGAUAACAGCGUAAUUUGUUUAGAGAGUUCUUAUUGAAAAACGAGAUUGUUACUUCGAUGUUGGAUUAAAGUAACCCUAAGGUGCAGAAGCUU